AAUUGAUGUCAGGUGCUUUCACUGAAUGUGUGCUUAAAACAGAGAUGCAAAGCAGAGUAUUACAACAUGAAGGCAGUACAAUUACAGCAUCUGUAUCACAGGACAACACAGGCUGAAUGGGAUGAAUAUGAUGUGGAAGAUCCGUGGUCGAGAAGGUACCUAGGCAGCCAGUGGAGACCUCCUGACCCCCUCAAUCCACUUCAGUCCAGUGAAUCAGGUUUCCGAGCUUUCAGGGCUCUCUCUGGACUUUCCUCCCAGGCCAGAACAAUGGCGGGCCCAGGAGCCCAGCUUCCCCACAGGCCCCGGUGAGAGGAGGCCGGGGGCUGGGUACUGAGGGAGCCGCUCAGCAUGCUGAAAUAUGGAGGCGACAGAUAAGGUGGCAGCGGCACAGAGAGGCCCUCUCCCAUGGGCCCAAGGGGAAAUUUGCAGUUAUUAAGAGGAAGAUGAGAGAGAUUAAAUGGCUUUUGUACUCAU
Molecule: long non-coding RNA, 474 nt
Organism: Eleginops maclovinus (Patagonian blennie)
Lineage: Eukaryota; Metazoa; Chordata; Actinopteri; Perciformes; Eleginopidae
Exons: 3
Source: RefSeq, a predicted model, not a curated record